AGACAGCUGCUCCUUCUCGGAGGUUCUCACCAUCUGUCUGUACAAGAUGUUUAUUUGCUUCCCCCAGCACUGAAAUAUUUGCGGUCACACUGACAGUAACAGAGUGACCCAUCACCUUCCAUGAUACAAAGAGGGUUUUUCUUUCUCAGGGGAGGAACUGAAGCAACAGGGAGGAAAUGACUGAGCUCACAUGAGUCUGUACCAGAGCUGGGACCGCAUCAGAGAGCCUCAGAAACACAGUUGAGCAUUUUAUUUGGAAGGUUCUGGAGCACGUACUCGUGAGCUGUGUCCUGCUGGGUACUUCUGUCUGCCAGGUACCAACUUCAGUACAGAGCAUCUGUGUCCCAAGGGUACCUUUGGCCCCAGGACUGGUGCCACUGGUGAGUCUGACUGGGAGCCCUGCCCAGCAGGUGGAAUCUUCCAGCCUUGAUCUGCCUAGUAAUGACAUCUGUCCUGCGGGGCAUUUCUGCCCCAGUGGUACUGGGUAUCCUGUGCCCUGUCCUCCUGGAUCCUUCUCUACGGUGGUGGGCCUGGAGGCAGAGGAGCAGUGCCAGCCCUGCCCGGCCGGACAUUAUUGCAGCGGGGCAGGAUUGUCUGAUCUGGCCCAGACAUCGCUGUGUAACGCAGGGUGCAGUGAGACAGUCACUUGGGAGUGGGAAAAUAGAGCUAUAGCAGGAUUGCUACAGGUUAUAGUAGAGGGACAUCCAAACUAGAAGAUACUGGGCCUGAAUAUUUCUUGCUGAAUGCCUUGUGUGCAAAAAUUAAUAAAACCUUGAAGACUUUGUUCUUGGCCCUUUGG
This 799-nucleotide long non-coding RNA is filed under the name Calidris pugnax (ruff). Its description in RNAcentral is "lncRNA (ENSCPUG00000019390.1)". The record is from RNAcentral. Lineage: Eukaryota; Metazoa; Chordata; Aves; Charadriiformes; Scolopacidae.